Molecule: ribosomal RNA, 805 nt
Filed under: uncultured Bacillota bacterium
Lineage: Bacteria; Bacillati; Bacillota
Description: bacterial SSU rRNA
Rfam family: Bacterial small subunit ribosomal RNA
Source: RNAcentral
UGUAGCAAUACAGGUGGCGCACGGCGCACGGGUGCGUAACACGUGGGUAACCCUGCCCUUUAGUGGGGAAUAACCUCGCGAAAGCGAGGCUAAUUCCGCAUAAGAUCCGCAAGGAUGAAAGCCGAAAGGCGCUGAUGGAGGGGCCCGCGCACGAUUAGCUAGUUGGUGAGGUAAUGGCUCACCAAGGCUAUGAUCGUUAGCUGGUCUGAGAGGAUGGCCAGCCACACUGGAACUGAGACACGGUCCAGACUCCUACGGGAGGCAGCAGUGGGGAAUCUUGCACAAUGGGCGAAAGCCUGAUGCAGCGACGCCGCGUGGGGGAUGAAGCUUCUCGGAGUGUAAACCCCUUUCGACCCGGACGAAUACCUCGCAAGAGGGGUGACGGUACGGGUAUAAGAAGCCCCGGCUAACUACGUGCCAGCAGCCGCGGUAAGACGUAGGGGGCCAGCGUUGUUCGGAAUUACUGGGUGUAAAGGGUUCGUAGGCGGUGUGGCAAGUCGGGAGUGAAAUUUCUGGGCUCAACUCAGAGACUGCUUCCGAAACUGCUGUGCUGGAGUGUGGGAGAGGCGCGUGGAAUUGCAGGUGUAGCGGUGAAAUGCGUAGAUAUCUGCAGGAACACCCGUGGCGAAAGCGGCGCGCUGGACCACUACUGACGCUGAGGAACGAAAGCUAGGGGAGCAAACAGGAUUAGAUACCCUGGUAGUCCUAGCCCUAAACGAUCAGGACUUGGGGUGCCACCCGUUCGGGUGUCGUCCCGGAGCUAACGCGUUAAGUCCUGCACCUGGGGAGUACGGUCGCAAGACUG